Molecule: long non-coding RNA, 464 nt
Organism: Gallus gallus (chicken)
Lineage: Eukaryota; Metazoa; Chordata; Aves; Galliformes; Phasianidae
Source: Ensembl
CGGCGCGGCAGAAGCCGCCGCUCCCUGCGCGUCCCGCGGCGGUGCGGACGCCUCCUCCGGGACGGGGCUGCCCGAUCGCUCUCCGGUCCCUGCGCUCCGGCGCUGCCGCUCCCGCGCCGACGAAAGGCGGGGGAUUUCCGUUCUCCCGGCCCCGGUGGGGGAACGCGACCUGUUCGCCGGCACGCGUGGAGCCGUCCCGGGGCAGGAGCUCGGAGUUCUUCCAAAGCUCCUCGACAUUUCAUGUUCAUUCAUGCACUGCCCCGUGCCCAGUUCAUUUAACCGGCCCCCAGAUUACCCUAUUACCGCUCUCAAACUGUUUACCCGUUCAUCCACGGCUGAAGCAGAGAAAAGGGCACCUCCUGACACCAUGGACAGCGCAAGGGACAGAAUUACCCAAAGAAUAUGCUGAUCUGGCCACCUAUCACAAAGUCUGCCAUGCAAAAAUCAAUGGUGACAGCACAGGC